This 465-nucleotide ribosomal RNA is filed under the name uncultured bacterium. RNAcentral describes it as "partial 16S ribosomal RNA". It matches the Rfam family "Bacterial small subunit ribosomal RNA", at positions 28 to 507 of the family's 1533-position model. The record is from RNAcentral.
GACGAACGCUGGCGGCGUGCUUAACACAUGCAAGACGAACGGAAAGGCCCCCUUGUGGGGUACUCGAGUGGCGAACGGGUGAGUAACACGUGAGUAACCUACCCUUGACUUUGGGAUAACUUCAGGAAACUGGGGCUAAUACCGGAUAGGAGCUCCUGCUGCAUGGUGGGGGUUGGAAAGUUUCGGCGGUUGGGGAUGGACUCGCGGCUUAUCAGCUUGUUGGUGGGGUAGUGGCUCACCAAGGCUUUGACGGGUAGCCGGCCUGAGAGGGUGACCGGCCACAUUGGGACUGAGAUACGGCCCAGACUCCUACGGGAGGCAGCAGUGGGGAAUAUUGCACAAUGGGCGGAAGCCUGAUGCAGCAACGCCGCGUGCGGGAUGACGGCCUUCGGGUUGUAAACCGCUUUCGCCUGUGACGAAGCGUGAGUGACGGUAAUGGGUAAAGAAGCACCGGCUAACUACGUG